Molecule: long non-coding RNA, 2167 nt
Filed under: Homo sapiens (human)
Lineage: Eukaryota; Metazoa; Chordata; Mammalia; Primates; Hominidae
Description: HSALNT0020124
Source: RNAcentral
CGGGCGCGUCAUCCUCCGGGGGCGGGGCCCGGGCCGCAUUGUCUCGUCUAGGGCCGGCUGGACGCCCCAGAGGCCGGACCUGGGCAACCCCAGCCUGGAGGUGCCGGGGCCGGAGCUCCCAGAGGGCUGGGUGCGAGGCCUAGGCGGGGUCAGGUUCGGGUUCCUAGGCCAUAGCGGAGCUGCAGCCCAGGCGGCCGGAGCGGAACCCAGCCCCGCUCCGAGUGCCACGUCUCCAGGAACCCCCUCCUUACUCUUGGACAACACUCCGCCCCCGCCCGGGCCUCCGUCCCCCAAACCGCCCUCAUUUGUGCAGCGCCAGAUCCUUCGGACACAUCCCUAGGUGUCUCCAUCCUCAUUCGGUCCAUCCAACUCCCAGACCUCACGUCAACCGGCUGCACCCCACUUUCCAGCCUGCGCCCCAGAUCUGCAGCCUUCGCCCCUAGAUACACCCGCCUGGUGAUGAGGCGCUCCUCGCGUUCCUUCCGGUAACCGCGUUGCGAAGACCACGCUGCCGGGUUGCAAACUUGGGGGGACUUCCUCCCUCCCCUCCCCCUGGGCGCCGUGCAACUGCCCUGGGACCGGGUUCUGGGAUGAGGGGGGCAGACCGGGCUCCCCAGCGGCCGGCGCAGCACGUAGCGCACGUGUAGGGUCCGCUCCCCACCCCCUCGCCGCCUCUGACAACUUUUCAGGGCUCCAGGUGUCCGUGAGCCUCCCUUCCGCCCUGGCCUCCGGUCUCUGCCUUGCUCGUGCUUCUACCACCACCCUUCCCCUCCCAACCCGGUGGAUCCUCUCGUCUCCCCCAGUCUCCAGUGCACCGGCUUUCCCUCGUCCUCUGCGCAGUCCAUCUCAGCUCAUCUCUCCAAUUCAAUGCCAUCAUCUCUCCUCACCAUCUCUCGGUGCCCUGGAAUGUUUGCUGUCAGAUGUCCCCUGUGAAACCCACAAACGCUUGCGAUUUGGCCUCCUUGUUUUAUUUUGUGUAGUCCUACAACGUCUUGUUACUACCCCCUAUUACAACACUUAUAACUCAGUAUUUGUCUUUUUUCCGCGGUGUCCCUGCACUCUCCCCAUACAUAUUCCUCUCCUGCCAGAUUGUAAGCCUCUAGAGGGAAGAAGUAAUGUCUCUCUCCUUGGCACCAGGCACGUGGCACACGCUCCACAAAUAUUUGUUGAAAGGGAGGGUAAAUGGCCUUGAGUUUCUGUGGCUACCAUUGGCUGAGGAUGGAGCUUUGGGCUGGACAAAGAAGAAUCUGGUUGACCACAUGAAGCAGGAAGGAGGCUCAGAACGGUGUUGAGGGAGCCUCCACAAUGGGUGGGCACCACAGUGGCACCACCAGCACCCCUAAUUUGGGUCUCUGGGCUGAGGGGCCCCUGGCAGCAUGCUCAAUGGCCUUGGAUAGCUGGAAUGUUUGGAAUUGCCUGCAUCUUGGAUGAAAGUCUUAACAAUAGAAUGAAAACUGCUGCAACACUGUGUCAGCACUUUACAGACCACCACUGUAAAUUCCCAGUUGAAACUGGGAAUUUGGAAUUCCAUGUUCAACCAAAUCAUGCUGAGUGCCCAGCACAGCGUCUGACACACUAAAUGCUACAGGUGAAUUCCCUUUUUCCUCUUUCCUGGCAGGAAGCGGGGAUAGGGGAACCACUAGAAAUACUGUAAUAACAUGAAUAAGACAAGGCCAUUAGCCGGGAGCAAAUCAUAGAACAUCAGCCCUGUGAAAUGAGUGGUAUUAGUGUUACCAUUUUUCAGAUGGAGAAAUUGAGACUCAGAAAGGUUAAUUAGCCAAAAAUCACACAGACAGUAAUAGCAGAGCUAGGAAAAGAAUGUUCAUCCUAGUACCUAACUUUGAUCUUCCCAAAACACCAAACUGACUUCUAAAGCUGAAGAAAGAGGACACAGAAGCUUCAUCUCAGAUCUCACCACCAGCUGCCCCUUAAUCUGCCAACAUCGAACCAUUCUCUCCCCUCUAGACUACAGUGGCUUCAAACUUUGACUUAUCUCCAGUAUUUUUUUGUACAUAGCAAUAGCAACAAAAGUUUCACAAAACAAUAUUACCUUUGUAUGGCCAGGCACGGUGGCUCAUGCCUGUAAUCCCAACAUUUUGGGAGGCCAAGGCGGGCAGAUCAUGAGGUCAGGAGAUCAAGACCAUCCUGGCCAACAUGGUGAAACCCC